CCACUACAAGCAAAUCCUCCUUUAGUACCUUUACAGCACUUCCCAUGCACUGACUAAAUCUACUCACCUGGGUGUUAGCACCUUUGGCUGGGCAUAGGCCAUCCUGCAAAAAGACAACACCAGAACUCAAGGUGACAGGAAGGUCCCUGGAAUGCAUGUCACUGGCAGCUCUGCACCAGGCAAACAGACUUGCAUGAGCAGUGGCAACCAAGCCACUGUGUACGUCCAUGACCCUGGGAGCAGACGAUGGGCCGAAGCAGGAAGAUCACAGUCUCACUUGACAUAAGGUAGGGAGAGGAAAUCAUGACACCCCUCCCCUUACUUAGGGCUGGGAGAUCUAAGGACUACUUUAAUUCACAAGCCGGAAGAGAAUGAACAUGUCUGUCCCUGGUAGAUGCCGACCAUCCGACCUGGGCCUGCAGCCUGCCUUGGUCCUCUCUUGGCUGGUGGCACAGAGUCCUGGCUCUCUGUCUCAGUCAGAGACCAGUCCCAACAUCAGUGUGAAGUUCCCUCAAAAGGUCAGGCCCCAAGGGACAAGAGCCACUUCUGCUAGUAAGCUGCGUUCUAGGAUGGCCUGUGGAGCAGAGAGCAGGGCUGGAGAGACGCUCAGUGGUAAGAGCACUGGCUACUCUUGCAGAACAACGGGAUUCCAUUCCCAGCACCCACAUGGAGACCCACAACUGUCUGUGACUCCAGUUCCAGGGGACCUGAGGGCCUUUUCUGGACUCUCUGCGCAAGGCACAAAUAUGGUAUACAGACAUACAUGUAGGCAAAACACUCAUACACAUAAAACAAAAUAAAUAUUUUUUUUAAGGCAGUGAAUGAUCCUUAAAAAGAACACAGAAAAUUUCUACACAGGAAUGAGGCUUGAAGACACCUCAUCACCUUGAGGAGUAAGUCUGGCUAGCCAACAUAAAAGAAACCAUACAGGACCCCAUCCCUGGGAGGCACUACUGCAGAGUGGCCAUGCUCAGAGGAACAACACAGAAUAGGGUUUUUCAUGACAAUGAGAUACAUCUGCUCCUGGCAGCAACAAUAAAAGGAUGAUGGGCAUCGAAGAAACACCAUUGGAAUUUGCUUUCAUUGUGGCAAGAUUAGCCAUUUGGGCAAGAACUGCUUUUGGCUUGACUGCUUGACUGUAUGCUGUAUAAACUGGACAUGCAGAACACACAGGAAAGUGACUACUGAACUUUGCCAAAACAAGGUGGGAUGGUCCUUCAGGGAUUCCUGCUUCACAGAAGAAACUGACAGACAAUCUGUAGGACACAGAGAAAAGUGACUGAUGCACUUUGCCAAAAUAGGCAGAACAGUCCUUCAAAUUUCCUGCUUCACUAAAAUGUCUACCAGAUACUCUAGGCCUAUAGGCUAAAGAUGGAUACCCCAACAUUGCAGAGGAAAUUUGGGUGACUGUCCAAGAAGCCAGAUGUCUCUGUCAUUUCUAGAGUUUUGAAGGGUGCUUGCAAUGCACUUCCUGUUUAUUCAGGUAACACUUCUGGGUUCUUUCAUGGAAUUAAAGACUAGAUAGUUAUAGUUUUUUUGGUUAUGAUAAAAGAUAAAUUAGAUAUGAAACUUUAGACUCACAAAGAUAGGAUAUAUGAGAGUAUUUUCAUUAAUUUUGCAAAAUACAAAUUGACUAAAUAUUAUAACUGUAAUUUUUGCUUGAUAACUGUUUUAUUAUAUGUAAUUUUACUAUGUUAAAGUUAAAACCUUCCUUUUUGGUUAGACAGAAAAGGGGAAAUGGUGUAGGAUGUCCUUCUGUAUGCUGUGAAUAUGUGUUGCUCUCGUUGGUUAAUAAAUCUGCUUUGGCCUAUGGCAAAACAGAAUAGAGCCAGGUGGGAGAUCCAAGCAGAGAUACAAGAGAAGAAGGGCAAGGUCUGGGAGACACCAUUCAGUCACCCAAGGAACAAACUGCAAGCAGACUGGAACACCACAGCCACAUGGCAAUAUUUAGACUAAUAGAAAUGGGUUAGUUUAAAUGUAAGAGCUAGCUAAUAAUAAACCUGAGCCAUCAGCCAAGCAUUUAUAAGUAA
This is a long non-coding RNA of Peromyscus eremicus (cactus mouse), 2030 nucleotides long. RefSeq lists it as uncharacterized. The transcript has 2 exons. Lineage: Eukaryota; Metazoa; Chordata; Mammalia; Rodentia; Cricetidae. The record is from RefSeq and is a predicted model, not a curated record.